Long non-coding RNA from Tachysurus fulvidraco (yellow catfish), 1147 nucleotides. RefSeq lists it as uncharacterized. The record is from RefSeq and is a predicted model, not a curated record. The transcript is spliced from 3 exons. NCBI's taxonomy places the organism in Eukaryota, Metazoa, Chordata, Actinopteri, Siluriformes, Bagridae.
AUUGAUGCAAUAUAGAGAAGUUCCAUUUAUAAAAUAUGCAUCUAAGAAAAAUUAGGAUUGAAAGAAUGAAUAACUGAAAUAAUUUGGCUGUUAAAUCAAAAAGUAAACAUGCAGUAUGAAUGCAUAUCUCUUGUAGUUUUUGUGAAGAAAAAUAUUUCGUGCUAUUUCCUCUGUUAGGUUGAUGUAUAUACCGUACACCACCUGGGGCGUGAAACUGUCCUCUAACAGUGAUCUGUCCUCUAACAGGCAAUCAUUAUAUUAACCAAUAUGUGUAAUAUUUCAAUAGGUCCUGCCUCAGACAGUGUGAUAUUUAAAAACAUCAGGACGAGUUAGAGGUUAAACUGUGUUCCCAUUGAUUUUGUCUCAGUCAUCAUUUCAAUCAUCAAUCCUUUAUAGCUCUGUGUUAGAGAUAUUAUAGUGCAUCCUACUUCCCUGUGCUAUAAUGGCUAAAAGUUUUAUAGCUACCAUUUUUGUGCUGCACUUUAUUUAGUAUGACAUUCUUUUGCAAAUAUGUAAAGAUAGGUUUGCAGGCAGGCUUAGACACUGCAACAUCGGGACCAUUUGGAAGGCUACUAGUGUUGAGUUUGAAAGCAAUGCUGCCAGUGAGACCCCCACCGAUCCCCCCAUAGUCAGUGCUUUAUGGUGCACGACUUCACGGAAACCAUGUGACUUUCCCACAUAGCAAAACAGAAGGAGAAGAGGGGGAAAGGGGGAAGGGGAUCAAUUUAGGUACAAGGACGCAUUUGACAGCUUGGUGUAGAAAACAAAAGAAUAGAUUAAAAUGGUGAGAAGAGGAGAUGAGACAGGAGAAUCACAGUGCAAUACCUAAUUUAGAAUGAAGGAAGGAAGACAAAGAGACUGUGAGAACGUUAAUCCAAUUUUGUGUCAGAAAAAAACAGCACAGCUGAGAGAGGUCCAGCACAUUUCUAAAGCAUGUACAGAAUUAAAAGGAGACUGUCAUCAUCUUUUACCUCUACCUCAGCAGGCUGCUUCUGUACCUUCUGCUGCUGUGGAUGGUACCAAAUAACUCAAAGAUUGCACUCCUCAGAAAAGUCCAACCCUUUCUUCAAUGGAUAAUCUCAUGUGUAUACUGUAGAUUUGUGCCAAAGAAAUGCUUCUGUUAACAUAAAGACUCCCCUGUACUCAA